CCAUGGUGCAGACCUUCAGGCUUCACACAGAGGUAGAGUAGGGAAUGUCUUGACCUUCAAUACGAGACUGCAGCAGAUCAUUGGGAACUAUGCAGGAGGCUGGAGUUGAGGCAGAAAGUAUACAUACAGCUGGAGGCAAAGGUUGGCAUACAUGUCAAGAGAAUGUUUUCCAGCUGGGGCCUGCAGUACAGAGAAUUGUAUAUACCAGAGGGCUCCUGGGACUCUAGGCAGAUUAUUAUGGUAAUAUUGGAGGCUGUUGUCCUCUCCCUCCCACAGCUGGGCCGCCUCUCUCAUUAUUUCCAUCACACAAAGACAGAAAUUCCAUCAGGCCAAGAUACCAUCCAGAACUUAGAUGGAACUGAAGAGUGUCAUUGAAGUGCUAUACUAUAUAAAUGGCCUGGUAGCUUGUUUGGCCACUGAGAGAACACAUGGUGGUUUUCAGGAAUCACUUUGGGGAAUACUCAUGAAAUUCAAUGUAUUCUAAUUGUAUUUAUAAUAUGCCUACUAUCUUCAAAGUGUGGGCUAGUUUCAGAUGAAAUUAAACAGAAUUUGUACCUAGAAGAGCUUACUAUGUGUU
Long non-coding RNA from Fukomys damarensis (Damara mole-rat), 577 nucleotides. RefSeq lists it as uncharacterized. The transcript has 3 exons. Lineage: Eukaryota; Metazoa; Chordata; Mammalia; Rodentia; Bathyergidae. The record is from RefSeq and is a predicted model, not a curated record.